GGAAUUUUCGGCAAUGGGCGCAAGCCUGACCGAGCAACGCCGCGUGGAGGACGACGGCCUUCGGGUUGUAAACUCCUUUUGCGGGGGAUGAUCGUGACCGUACCCCGCGAAUAAGGCUCGGCUAACUCUGUGCCAGCAGCCGCGGUAAGACAGAGGAGCCAAGCGUUGUCCGGAUUGACUGGGCGUAAAGCGCACGCAGGCGGUCGUGCACGUGGGGUGUGAAACCUGGCCGCUUAACGGCCAGACGCCA
Molecule: ribosomal RNA, 250 nt
Filed under: uncultured bacterium
Lineage: Bacteria
Description: partial 16S ribosomal RNA
Rfam family: Bacterial small subunit ribosomal RNA
Source: RNAcentral